GGGGGCGACCUGGUUUCGACACGGGGCGCGAAACAGCGCAGGGCAUGCCGAGGGCCAGAGACCUCGUAAAUCCAUCUGGAAACCUAC
This 87-nucleotide transfer-messenger RNA is filed under the name Betaproteobacteria bacterium PRO7. RNAcentral's name for it is "partial transfer-messenger RNA". It matches the Rfam family "transfer-messenger RNA", at positions 1 to 88 of the family's 374-position model. Rfam says of the family: Bacterial tmRNA, also known as 10Sa RNA or SsrA, is named for its dual tRNA and mRNA-like properties. Lineage: Bacteria; Pseudomonadati; Pseudomonadota; Betaproteobacteria. The record is from RNAcentral.